GGAUCAGGUAGGGAUACCCGCUGAACUUAAGCAUAUCAAUAGCCGGGAAGGAA
RNAcentral lists this ribosomal RNA (53 nucleotides) under Pleosporaceae sp. GX1-5D. RNAcentral's name for it is "partial 28S ribosomal RNA". RNAcentral also lists the same sequence under 1 other name. Lineage: Eukaryota; Fungi; Ascomycota; Dothideomycetes; Pleosporales; Pleosporaceae. The record is from RNAcentral.